RNAcentral lists this long non-coding RNA (492 nucleotides) under Pogona vitticeps (central bearded dragon). RNAcentral's name for it is "lncRNA (ENSPVIG00000006096.1)". The record is from RNAcentral. Lineage: Eukaryota; Metazoa; Chordata; Lepidosauria; Squamata; Agamidae.
AUGGGUGUUGGAAGUCCAAAGAUGCAUUAUGUCGUUCUUUCCUUUCAAGUCACUUCCCAUUUGAAAAAUGAACCUCAUUCUGCUCGGCCUUCAGUUGACAAAAGUAAAGACGAGAGAAGCCUGGGAGCUACUGAAGCUGAAAAGAAGGAUGUGAAAGAGCAGUACCUUAAGAAGGCCAAGAGAAGGGAGGAAAUAAUAGCCUUAUUGAGGAAACAACGGGCAGAGAGGAUUCUGAAAGAGUCCUUUUCAAAUAUGCACAAGUCGAAGAGCAAAAUUCAGGAAAGCUCUCACUUGUUUGAAACUAUAGACAGAAGAACCAGCCUACGAUCAGGAGAUGCAAGCCCACAGAAUAGAAGUUGACUUGGCAACUUGUGGGGCGGCCCAUUGCCAGAGACUGACUAGUUUCCUUGACUAGUUCCUUAACACAACAUGUACAUCACUUUUAGAAAUCUUGAUUAAACCACAAGAAGGAAAGAAUACGCACAGAAGGAG